This is a long non-coding RNA of Mirounga angustirostris (Northern elephant seal), 904 nucleotides long. RefSeq lists it as uncharacterized. NCBI's taxonomy places the organism in Eukaryota, Metazoa, Chordata, Mammalia, Carnivora, Phocidae. The transcript is spliced from 4 exons. The record is from RefSeq and is a predicted model, not a curated record.
CUACAUCAUGAGCAAGACCAAUACAACCGGCUUCUACUCUGGUGGAAGUUAGAAGCUACCAGAUAACAACUCUAAGGUAGAAGGAGGCCAAGAAGAAAGAUGUAUUACUACCCAAUUAAGCCUCCCACAAAAGGAAUAGAUUAAGUGCUAAUGACAGAUUCAACAAAAGCAAGAUACAAUAUUGCUGUUGCCAACCUCUGGUGUUACCUGAAUGACUACCUUUCACACCAUUAUCAUUGUACAACCAUCUCUAAAGAGCAUGAGAGAAGAUGCCAACUGGGAGUGUACUCAAUGAAGAAGAAAAAUUAAAGUGGACAGAAAUGCCAAAAAAGAUUGAAAUACAAGAAAUGCUGAGGUGAUAUCUGAAAAAAUUCUUAAACAGAAAUAAAAGAAAUAGAGUAAAAGUGAGAAAAAUAUCAUAGCAAAGAGUUUGGGAUAGGAAUUGCCUGGGUAAAGUUGCUAUAGAUUCACCACUGAAUCCUAGAAACAUAAACUGUGGAUCUGUCUCCACAUAAAUAGGAGAGGAAAAUCUGAAAUGACUUCAUGUUUAAAUGAGAAAACAAAACAAGCAUGUGUACACACAGGCACCUUUUUAUUUAUUUUUUAUAAUCCUAUAAAUGGGAAUUUGCCUUAAAUAGUUCUUUACCUAAUGGUCUAAGACCCUUGGAUCCUAGGACCCUUGAUCAGAGAAGAUACAAUAUGAGAAACACGUGUUCUCAUUUAUUGAGGUUGUCAGAGAUGAUAGGGCUAAUUUCUAUCUCAGACUGAACUAACCCAGAACAAAAUUACAUGAUCAGUUUCUGGACUUUUCACUUUUCAGUUUUGUACCUUUCUUUUCUUUGCUUCUAUUCAUGGAGAUUCCGGUAACUUUAUGUUUUAUGUUUUCUCUUUUAACAAAUGUAUU